Molecule: long non-coding RNA, 803 nt
Organism: Melospiza georgiana
Lineage: Eukaryota; Metazoa; Chordata; Aves; Passeriformes; Passerellidae
Exons: 3
Source: RefSeq, a predicted model, not a curated record
ACACAGCACAGAUCUGUAAGGGCUGCCAGCCUGUUGAGGGCUGCCUCAUCCUUGAGCUAUUUAACCUCACCCUGGACAACACAAAACACUAGGGCAGAGGAAAAUCUCUCUCCAUACACCUGGGGCAGCACCUGAUCAGGGGUCACUUGCAUUUCUUAUUUUCUGCCUCCCUUUCUGGCAGGGGUAUAUCCAGCAUCACAACCUCCCUUUGCAGCCACGGGUGAGCAAGGUGAAGGCUGAGACACAUCCAGGCAGGUCUGGAAGCAGCCAGCACCCACUGGGCAUCUCCUCCAACCCCUCUUGUCCUUCACAGGGUGAUGCCAGCCAUGGCUCCUCCACUGUGGUGUGCUCACCAUGAGCAGGUCCCAUGGGCCCCAGGUGGGUCCCACAUGUCCCACAGGCCCCAGGUGGGUCCCAGUGGGUCCCAGAAGGUCCCAAGGACCCCAGGUGGGUCCUAGCAGGUUCUAUGUGCCUCAGGUGGGUCCCAGCAGGUCCCUCAUGCCCCAGGUGGGUCCCAGCAGGUCCCACAUGCCCCAGGUGGGUCCCACAUGUCCCAAGUGCCCCAGGUGGGUCCCAGCAGUUGCCAUGGACCCCAGAUGGCUCCCACCAGGUUUUAUGUGCCCCAGGUGGGUCCCAGAAGGUCCCUCAUGCCCCAGGUGGGUCCCAGCAGGUCCCAUAGGCCCCAGGUGGGUCCCAGCAGGUCCUGAGUGCCCCAGGUGGGUCCCAGUGCCCCAGGUGGGUCCCAGCAGGUCCCAUAGGCCCCAGGUGGGUACCACAUGUCCCACGGGCCCCAGGUGGGUCCC